CCUACGGGAGGCAGCAGUGGGGAAUAUUGGGCACUGGGCGCAAGCCUGACCCAGCAACGCCGCGUGAAGGAAGAAGGCUUUCGGGUUGUAAACUUCUUUUGUCAGGGACGAAGCAAGUGACGGUACCUGACGCAUAAGCCACGGCUAACUACGUGCCAGCAGCCGCGGUAAUACGUAGGUGGCAAGCGUUAUCCGGAUUUACUGGGUGUAAAGGGCGUGUAGGCGGGGAAGCAAGUCAGAUGUGAAAACCACGGGCGCAACCUGUGGCCUGCAUUUGAAACUGUUGUUAUUGAGUGCGGGAGAGGCAAUCGGAAUUCCGGGUGUAGCGGUGAAAUGCGUAGAUAGACGGAAGAACACCAGUGGCGAAGGCGGCUCUCUGGUCUGCAACUGACGCUGAGGCUCGAAAGCAUGGGUAGCGAACAGGAUUAGAUACCCGGGUAGUC
Molecule: ribosomal RNA, 443 nt
Filed under: uncultured bacterium
Lineage: Bacteria
Description: partial 16S ribosomal RNA
Rfam family: Bacterial small subunit ribosomal RNA
Source: RNAcentral